CCGACUAAUCUGGAAAUACCAUCUCGCCGACCCGAUCCCCCACCAUCGCCACGACCACCUACCCCAGCGCGCCACCACCGGCCCCCUUCCAUAGCGCGUCGCAGCCGGCCCCCUCCCCCAGCUCGCCGUAGCCGGCCCCCUUCCCCAGCGCUCCUCCGCUGCCCUCCUACCCCAACGCGCCGCCGCCGGCCCCCUACUCCAACGCGCCGCUGCCGGAACCCUACCGGACGUGCCGCCGCCCCCCUGCCCCAGCACGCCAGCACAAUGACCUCCCUUUCCCAGUGCGCCGCUGCAGGCCCCCUGCCCCAGCGCGCCACCGCCACGACCUCCCUCCCCCAGUGCGGCGUCGCCUAGCCCCUGCCUCCGAGCAUCGCCUGUCUUCGCGCACAACUGUCCCACUACUGCCUCACGCGCCAACUCUGUACUGAGGCUAGCCACGGUGAUCGAUCACCGAGGGAUGGCCGGUCCUUGCCACCGGCGGCCGCACUCCUGACGUGUCCCGAGCGAUUGCGCCCAUAGAGGCUUGCUCCCAUCAUCCUCCUCCUCCCAGAGUACGAUGGCAAUGGCGACAACAUCCAGUAGGUCCUCCUGUGCCACUGCUCGCCCCGCUUUUACCACCGGCCAGCCAUGCAAAUCCAUGUAAGAAAGUUCAGUUGAACUUGUUGUUAUGCGUCACGGCUGGGGGUGGGAGGCGUGCGGCGGCCGGAGGUGGGAGGUGCACGACAGCCGGGGGUGGGAGCCCCCCUGUGUAGCUGUGGACUCCGUCCUGGCUGGUCUACUUUGGCCGUUCAACUUUGCGUCUUCCACUCGGCCAGCGCUCGACGAGGAGCACCCCGGUCUCGCUCAUGUGUAGAGUUUGGAGUAUAUUCUACCGAUGUGUUAUGCUCUCCUCUAUUUUCAACUGAACGUGCUGCCAUGUGUGGAUUUCCCCUCUAACUCCACAACAAGUUGAAUCCCGCAAAUUCUACUGGUAAGUGCAAGAUUCAGUACUGUCCAUUUUCAUUUUCUAUAAAAAGGCCAAUCAUUCUUGUUGCUUCACAUAUACUAGUAAACAGGAGUAUUGGAUUCCAUCCAUGGAACAAUCAAGCAACCAUGGAUAUCAGCCCACCACUGUGUUGCGGAUGUGAUCUUUGUGCGCUUUUGAGUACUGUAAAACAAUUGUAUGCUUCUGGUUGCUGCUUGCUGCCACUGCCGAAUUGUGUAAGUGCAAAAAGUUUCAUAUCGCAGGUUCAAAGAGGGUUGUAUGCAAGUUCAGAAGUUUGUUUGGAGCAUCUUUAAGUGUUUGUUGUAAUGUAGAAAAGAGUUUUUAAUACUGAAAACGAACCUAGUGAAAAAAUGUCCAGGCGACCAUCAUGCCUACCUCCUGACCCCCGCCGUCAGGUCGCGGCCUCUUCCGCCGUCAGGUCGCAGCCUCUUCCUUCUGCAGGUCGCAGCCUCUUCCUUCUGCAGGUCGUCGCCUCCUGCUGCUGCAGGCUAUGCCCCAUCCCCCAUUCUCACGUGGUCGCCAACAAGGUAUCCUACUACAAUGGUGGUCACCGCCCCAUAACUCUCUCCGGUUCAUUUUGAUCUACUUUUGCACAUUUGUUCUUUAUCUCACGAAUUUUGUUAUGUAGGAGGUGACAAUUGUUGAUCCUGAAGUUUCAUCACAUGAUUUUUUGUCUCUGAAUUUUGCACCAAUUCUUGAUCCUGAAGCAUCAAUGCUUGAGCACUGAUUUUUGUGUGUUAGGUGGGUGUACAGUGUGUUGGGCGUGUGUUUUUAUUUUAUGUUCUGAGCAAAAAAUCGACUACAAAAAUUGUGUCAUGAAAAGUUCAUGUACACCUAUUGAGAUGGUUCUAAAAUUAAACUUUUAAAGUUAAAACAAUAGGAAAUCAGUUAUUUGGUUGUGGAGGUUCUUUUGUCCUUGAACUAUAUAAGAGUUCAGCUUUUGCUUGUUUUUCAGUUCAAAUUUUGCGUUCUUUUCAGUACAUCAACUUUAAUGUGCAGAACAUCGAGGAAAUCUUCAAAAAUUAUAUGUGCACUCUAUGUAUUUUCUUAUGCUUACAAGAAUUCUGCACUCAUACUGUUAUGCAUCAGUUCAAGUCACUUGUGGAGUUUUAGAUAUAUGCAAUUGGAUUAGAGCACCAUGCUCUCACCUAAAAGUUUGAAAAACCAUUGCUUUCAGUUUUGGUAACAUAUAUUUUUGUUUCAGUUUUGCUAAUUCUUUCUCCAAUGGCCUUUAUAUAUUAUCUUUCAUAUGUCUUACUAUAUGAAAAAAUGUUGCCUUCAGCAAGCAAUCUUGCUCAGUUUUCUGGUUAAGAAAACAGACAACAUGGAUUACUACCAUGGGAAUUCAAAGAAAUGUCAUCUAUAAAAAUAGUACAAUUUGUGAGCUUCUUGCGGACUAAUGAUAAGUUACUAGAUAAACUAAGGGUCGUCGUUUGUAGGCUCGUGGCCGGAACCCGAAGCUCAAGUUGUGGUCCAGUAUGUCAGAAAAAUCCAGUUCACCUUCGUAGGCUUUUUCACCUCAUCUUAUCAAAAGCAAAAAAAUCAAAUGUGUUUCAUAGGAUUUGCUAUAUACGUGUACCCCUUUGUAGGCUUUUUCAGUUCAAAUUUUGCUAGCAAAAAUAGAUUUGUAGCAGUUCAACAUAAAAAGUGAAACCAGUUAGUUGAUGGGAAAUAAUUCAAUUAUAUAUGUAUACACUGCAGUAGGAGUUCGGUACAAAAAAAAUUAGCGGUUUGUUAAACAAAAAUAGAAACACAUAUUGUGGUUUAGGGCCUAGACUACAAACACUUCAGUAGCUAAAAAAUGUUCAAAAUAUAGUUACAAUAGUAGUUCGGAGUUCAAAUAUAGUUACCGUCAACGAAUUGGAAUUUUUCAGAUGUUGAGAGGGAAAAAUGCACUGCUUAGUUCAGAAAUAGCUGGAAAAAAAACUAUAGCUUUCUGUAUGCAUGUUUUAUGUUCUUGCAACAAGUGACACCAAACCUGUUUGAUGGAAUGUUCAGAAGGAAUGAUCACACACAAGUGACACGCUCAGUUCAAAAAUCUUAUUUUAGAUCAGUGCAAUUCUUAUGAAGCUCUAAUGGACAUUAUGAUUGCAGUAGAGCUGGACUUCCUCGUAUUCAAGUGCACGCAAGUAAGCUUCAUUUUUGUUUUGUUUAAAGCUACUCCCCAUAAAGUAGUAUCAUUCUUGUGUUUUCUGUACUUGAAGUUGAAUAGUCAUUAUAUUGCCACUUGGGUUCUCUUGCGUCAUUCACCCAGACAAGACCAGAAAAAAUUUCAUGUGUAUCUUGCUAUGCAUCGUGAACUCAUAGAGGAAAUCAACUUUAUAAUCCUUUAUGACUAUGGUGAAUUUUUUCUGGUAGUAUUAACUUGAUACAUUAUUAUCAUUUUUCCAGGGAGUCUACAAGUGCAGGAAUGGUGGGCUCCCAGCCUAUCGAGACCUAAACAUUCGAGUUCAAUUUAGAAGUAUUUACAAUUGUUCAGACCUGAGUUUACAACGGAAAAACAUUUGGAAAUUUAUCGAGCGAAAAUACUUGUUAGAUUCAUUUAAAAAGUGUCGUAUAGUUCAACUUUUAUAUAUAAUAAAUUCAUAAUGAAAUGUGGGAACAAUUCAA
Molecule: long non-coding RNA, 3595 nt
Organism: Triticum aestivum (bread wheat)
Lineage: Eukaryota; Viridiplantae; Streptophyta; Magnoliopsida; Poales; Poaceae
Exons: 2
Source: RefSeq, a predicted model, not a curated record